This 65-nucleotide transfer RNA is filed under the name Dytiscus sharpi. RNAcentral describes it as "tRNA-Pro". The record is from RNAcentral. Lineage: Eukaryota; Metazoa; Arthropoda; Insecta; Coleoptera; Dytiscidae.
CAGAGAAUAGUUUAAUUAAAAUAUUAAUUUUGGAGAUUAAUGAUGGGAGUUUUUUCUUUCUCUGA